This 446-nucleotide long non-coding RNA is filed under the name Arachis ipaensis. RNAcentral's name for it is "long non-coding RNA (AIPA_LNC000645)". Lineage: Eukaryota; Viridiplantae; Streptophyta; Magnoliopsida; Fabales; Fabaceae. The record is from RNAcentral.
UAUAACAUACACAUGCUCUAUCUUAAUUUUUUCUAGAGAAAGAGAGAAUUAUGGCUAGGAACGAUAUAAGACGUGCACUAACAAUAUUGAUAUUUGAGAUGCUUGUUUGUUCUGUUAUUGCAAAAUUCCCAGGAAAUCAUAUUGCUGAUGACAAGUCUUUGGCUCCAAGUCAACCUGAAGAACCUGAACCUGAUGAAGAGAAAUAUGAUGAAUAUGAUUACUCUCAACUUCAAGCUUGUAUCGAAAACUGCAACAACAACGACAAUAUUCGUGAUCCAGAAAAGUUGUCGGACUGCAUUGAGGUUUGCUAUAAGAGGAUCUAUGAUUAGUACUAAAAAGAGUAAUGGUAACUUGGUAAGUAUCUAAGUUAUUGUGUGAAUUUUUUUUAUUUUUGUAAGUCAUUUUUAUUUUAUACUAUCUUAAUUAUUGAAUAUUUAAUAUGAUAA